This 843-nucleotide small RNA is filed under the name Drosophila ananassae. Its description in RNAcentral is "GF26239". Lineage: Eukaryota; Metazoa; Arthropoda; Insecta; Diptera; Drosophilidae. The record is from RNAcentral.
AAUAAAAUAUUGUAUUUUCUGUCACAUAGUCUUUAUCCGUGAAAUAAUCACUCCUUUUUUUUCUUUGAUGAUGAUGAUGCAGCUACAUUUGAUAGAGUAAAAAAAUAUUCAAUUGGUGGUGAAGGCAAAAACGGUAGGAAGACUAAUUUUUCUUGCGGUAGUAUUUUACAAAACUUCACUGCAAUAGCAGUCAAAUGAAUAUGCUCACUGCGGAUCUUAUUGCGACGUAUGAACAAAAAAGGAAACCUGCGGUGCUCCUCCUUCAAAAAACUAGAAAAAAACAUCUAGUAUGUGGUAGCAAUUAAAAAAAUUAACAGAUAAUUCCAAUGCAGUUGCUCAUUGCGGAACUAUUUUAAGAAAGAGAAAAUACCGCAAAUUUGAUGGAUCAUCUUAAAUGGAUCGAUCCAAAUCGGCAGAGAUGAUGAAAUUAACUCAACAUUUUUCGAUGUUGGAUGUAACGCACUGUGGAAUAUGAACUAGAUUCCCAACAAAAACAAACAUUGAACAAGUAUGUAAUGCCUAUUAUUGCAAAGAAUGUACAACCUUUCAUCACAGUCUUCGACGAAGGAUUUCUUGAUGAGUUCCAAUAUAUACAACGCAAAAUACAACUGUCGAGCCGCUCGUUUUUUCGAGACGUAAUGCUUCUGAGAAUGUACGAACAUCUUGUCUGUGAGCUCAGGCAGACUUCCCGGCAAAUGAAGCAUACAUAUAUAACAGUUACAAUUCCCGGUCAUUUUUGCAGUAACGCCCAGAAGUAACUCGAUAGCAAACGUAGCUGAAACUCUUUCGAAAAUAUUAAUUAGUAUUGUUAUCUAUAACGAUGCGACUAUGAAAAAUGCGUGU